GUUGUAUGGUUAAGUGACUAAGCGUACACGGUGGAUGCCUAGGCAGUCAGAGGCGAUGAAGGACGUACUAACUUGCGAUAAGCGCAGAUAAGGCAGUAAGAGCCGUUUGAGUCUGCGAUUUCCGAAUGGGGAAACCCAACUGCAUAAGCAGUUACUGUUAACUGAAUACAUAGGUUAACAGAGCAAACCGGGGGAACUGAAACAUCUAAGUACCCCGAGGAGAAGAAAUCAACCGAGAUUCCGGUAGUAGCGGCGAGCGAACCUGGAUUAGCCCUUAAGCACUCGUUGAAGUAGGUGAACAAGCUGGAAAGCUUGGCGAUACAGGGUGAUAGCCCCGUAACCGACGCUUCAUCGAGCGUGAAAUCGAGUAGGGCGGGACACGUGAUAUCCUGUCUGAAUAUGGGGGGACCAUCCUCCAAGGCUAAAUACUCCUGACUGACCGAUAGUGAACCAGUACCGUGAGGGAAAGGCGAAAAGAACCCCUGUGAGGGGAGUGAAAUAGAACCUGAAACCGUGUACGUACAAGCAGUAGGAGCACCUUCGUGGUGUGACUGCGUACCUUUUGUAUAAUGGGUCAGCGACUUAUAUUCAGUGGCAAGGUUAACCGUAUAGGGGAGCCGUAGCGAAAGCGAGUCUUAACUGGGCGCUCAGUCUCUGGAUAUAGACCCGAAACCGGGUGAUCUAGCCAUGGGCAGGUUGAAGGUUGAGUAACAUCAACUGGAGGACCGAACCGACUAAUGUUGAAAAAUUAGCGGAUGACUUGUGGCUAGGGGUGAAAGGCCAAUCAAACUCGGAGAUAGCUGGUUCUCCCCGAAAGCUAUUUAGGUAGCGCCUCGGACGAAUACUACUGGGGGUAGAGCACUGUUAAGGCUAGGGGGUCAUCCCGACUUACCAACCCUUUGCAAACUCCGAAUACCAGUAAGUACUAUCCGGGAGACACACGGCGGGUGCUAACGUCCGUCGUGGAGAGGGAAACAACCCAGACCGCCAGCUAAGGUCCCAAAGUAUUGCUAAGUGGGAAACGAUGUGGGAAGGCUCAGACAGCUAGGAUGUUGGCUUAGAAGCAGCCAUCAUU
Molecule: ribosomal RNA, 1075 nt
Filed under: Vibrio cholerae
Lineage: Bacteria; Pseudomonadati; Pseudomonadota; Gammaproteobacteria; Vibrionales; Vibrionaceae
Description: partial 23S ribosomal RNA
Rfam family: Bacterial large subunit ribosomal RNA
Source: RNAcentral